Haliotis rubra (blacklip abalone) is the source of this 368-nucleotide long non-coding RNA. RefSeq lists it as uncharacterized. Lineage: Eukaryota; Metazoa; Mollusca; Gastropoda; Lepetellida; Haliotidae. The record is from RefSeq and is a predicted model, not a curated record. The transcript has 2 exons.
AUAAUCUGCAAGAGGAAGGGGUCGUCCUCAACAAUUCUUCAUCGCGUCCUCCACGACACCAGAUGAAAUACUACACUUAUCCGGAACUAUAAAAGUACACAGUCAAACACCGUUGUCUCGAAGCUGAAGGGACCUAUGUUUAUACUUCGUGUGAUCCGAGACUCGAUACAACUGCAAAAUGGUGACUGAAGAAGGAAUAUGCGAAACCAAGCUUUCAUUUCGUCGCAACCGUAAGCUCGACACAUCAGGAACACGUUUGGCCGGAACUACUUUCACUCUGACUGAUUGAUGCUAUAGUAUUCUGAUGUGUAACAUCAGUGAGAAAAUGUAUGAAUAAAAGUCGAAUAGUUUUAUCAUCAAUACUAUAC